AACCGCCAAUAAACAACAGAAGAAGAAAAAGAUAGUAGGGGAACCAUGGCGUUUCCACGUGAGACAGGCACGUUGGUAAAUGAUCGAUUGAACGUAGAAAAUAACGACUUCCUGCUAAAUUUGAGCUCCGAGCAACAACACGGGAUUUGUCCACUACAUAUUAGUGAAGAGGAAACCGAGUAAAAUGGCCAGUGAGGGCGGUGGUAGGCCACGAUGAAUCUCGGGUCCGGGGUCUGCUGCCGACUCUUCCGCAUUUGUGGGCCGCAAGUGAUGGACGACGACUGCCAUCAAACCGACGAAGAAGGAAUCAAAUAUUAGACAGCAAAGCGACGAGGAAACGAACACUAGCCUUGGUUUCAGAUAUGCUGCAAGGUUGAUUUGUGAUCAAGGCAUGGACCAAGGACAACGCUUCAGCUUGUGACACAAGAUUAGGUACACAUCCACAAUCCAGAUCAUUUGCUUUUUGUUUUGCCACAGAUAUGCUGCAAGGUUGAUUUGUGAUCAAGGCAUGGACCAAGGACAACGCUUCAGCUUGUGACACAAGAUUAGCUACACAUCCACAAUCCAGUUGGAUCAAAUAGAAAUUAGGCUUCAUGUGGAUGAGCUGUCAGUCCAAGCCACCCCUGGUGUGACGUGCCAUUAUAUCAAGGGAAUUAAAGACUUCCAGGCAUUUUUUUCAACUUGUACAAUAAAAUUUUGAGAACUAAUCUCAUUGAGUUCAU
Non-coding RNA from Doryrhamphus excisus (bluestripe pipefish), 722 nucleotides. Lineage: Eukaryota; Metazoa; Chordata; Actinopteri; Syngnathiformes; Syngnathidae. The record is from RefSeq and is a predicted model, not a curated record.